Molecule: non-coding RNA, 305 nt
Organism: Phascolarctos cinereus (koala)
Lineage: Eukaryota; Metazoa; Chordata; Mammalia; Diprotodontia; Phascolarctidae
Source: RefSeq, a predicted model, not a curated record
UUCUCAUCAAGCUUUGAGUACACUUGGGUCCUGCAGUUCCUUUGGUCGCUUCAGGCCACCAGCUUCUAGAGUGUCAAACCUAAACUACCAGGAGAUUGGCCAAAGCCAGGCCCAGAAUGUCUGCUGAGAGUCAGUAAUGAAGAGGGGGUGAAUGGAUUUUGCAAAGGCUUACACUUCCUCUUUGGUUGAGCUGGACAUAUCCUGGCCAAUACCUGAUAGUAUUACCUGUCACAUCACAGGUGGCAAUCCAGAUGCACCUACACAAGAAAUCGCUACCCAGAAUAAAAUAAAACUCAUCACCUUUG